RNAcentral lists this transfer RNA (72 nucleotides) under Dallia pectoralis (Alaska blackfish). Its description in RNAcentral is "tRNA-OTHER". It matches the Rfam family "tRNA". From Rfam's summary of the family: Transfer RNA (tRNA) molecules are approximately 80 nucleotides in length. Their secondary structure includes four short double-helical elements and three loops (D, anti-codon, and T loops). The record is from RNAcentral. Lineage: Eukaryota; Metazoa; Chordata; Actinopteri; Esociformes; Umbridae.
GUUGGUGGAGCUCAGUGGUAGAGUGCAUGCUUUGUAUGUAUGAGGUCCUGGGUUCAACCCCCAGCUUCUCCC